UGGGGAAUAUUGGACAAUGGGCGCAAGCCUGAUCCAGCCAUGCCGCGUGUGUGAAGAAGGCCUUUUGGUUGUAAAGCACUUUAAGCGAGGAGGAGGCUACUUGGAUUAAUACUCUAGGAUAGUGGACGUUACUCGCAGAAUAAGCACCGGCUAACUCUGUGCCAGCAGCCGCGGUAAUACACAGGGUGCGAGCGUUAAUCGGAUUUACUGGGCGUAAAGCGUGCGUAGGCGGCUUCUUAAGUCGCAUGUGAAAUCCCUGAGCUUACCUUAGGAAUUGCAUUCGAUACUGGGAAGCUAGAGUAUGGGAGAGGAUGGUAGAAUGCCAGGUGUAGCGGUGAAAUGCGUAGAGAUCUGGAGGAAUACCGAUGGCGAAGGCAGCCCUCUGGCCUAAUACUGACGCUGCAGUACGAAAGGAUAGGGAGCAAACAGG
Molecule: ribosomal RNA, 430 nt
Filed under: bacterium
Lineage: Bacteria
Description: partial 16S ribosomal RNA
Rfam family: Bacterial small subunit ribosomal RNA
Source: RNAcentral